Long non-coding RNA from Alosa sapidissima (American shad), 1689 nucleotides. RefSeq lists it as uncharacterized. The transcript is spliced from 3 exons. Lineage: Eukaryota; Metazoa; Chordata; Actinopteri; Clupeiformes; Clupeidae. The record is from RefSeq and is a predicted model, not a curated record.
CUUUCAACAGGUUGCACAAAAAGCCUACAAAUUCAACAUGUCGAGUUCAAAUGCUAAUUGCUUAAUUUACAUGAACAAUGAAAUCCAAAUCUAUGAUCCGAAAAUGAAAAAAAAAUUGGUUUCACACCCUAUUUGUCUAUUAUAUAGUAGUGAGUAUUCAGGCCAUGGUUUUUACAUCCGCGAAAAAACGAUUAUGACAAGUGAUCACGUUUUUAAAAAGAAUAAAAGGCCUGAUAUAAUUUCGUGUUUUUUCCCCUCAGAUGAUUUUGUAUUAAUUUUUAAGAUUGAUUCUGAGUCAUACCAGUCGUACCCAGAGGCAGACAUUGGUAUACUUCACUUUGAUGCUGACCCCUCACCUCUAGGUGUUGGCUUAUAUGAGAAAAUGUACCUUGGUCCUCCAGCGCCAGGUAUAGAUAUAUAUUUCACCACAUUUGAUAAAUCAAACCUAGGUGCUCCCAUCAAACAUCAUGGGACAAUAAUACCGGUCACUGACAGCCAAGAACUGUUAGAAAAUGAGUUCCUGAUGAAUACCCAUGGUCAGCCAGGAGAUAGUGGAAGUCCAAUUUUUGAUCAAAUGGGCAGAUGUGUAGGAUUAUAUCGUGGAAUUCUCUGUGGCAAUGGCCGUGGGGUAUAUCUAAACUGUUCACUCCAGCCCCAAUCAAUAUUAUCUACCUUACUUGACUACCUUGCUCAAUUUAAGGAUAAUUUUUCUACUUUUCUCUACUUUCUUCCUACAUUUAGUCAUUCUCCCUAACCAGUUCAUGAAAAUUAUCAUUAGUUUAAGGACUCAAAUGAAAAACAAAAAAUGAAAAACAAAAACUCAAUUUAGAUAUACCCAUGGGAUAUAUCUAAAUUGUUAAAUCCAGCCCCAAUCAAUAUUAUCUACCUUACUUGACUGCCUUGCUCAAUUUAAGGAUAAUUUUCCUACUUUUCUCCCUUAGAUCUCUCACAUUUAGUCAUUCUCCCUAACCAGUUGUUCAUGGAAAUUAUCAUUAGCUUAAGGACUCAAAUGAAAAAAAAAAAAAAAAAAAAAAAAAAACAACAACAAAAAAAACAAGCAGAAAAAACAAAAGAAGAAGAAAGCAAAUGUAUUUUUCUGUAUGUUUUUAUUUGCUGUUUGUUUUUAUUACAAUUCUGUUUGGUCAUGGGCAUGUCACUGUGGUGCAUUUGUUUCACCAUGCCCAGGCUUGUGUGCAACCUUUUUAGGUCCAUCUACGUCCCUUCCCCUCCCCAGGGUGGAAUCUUAUGUGUGGCCUCUCUCCAGAAACUGAGACACCUGGAGUAGUGGCUUUCAUACAGAGGCCUUGCUCAAAUGAAGAGGUUGAACAGACUGUACUGAAGGGUGGACCAGGCUGAGACCACUCCUGACCAUACUGCCCCCAGUAUGGAGGAUAUCAACGUAACCACAAAGGUCAGCCACAUCACUCACAGCCAUUCCAUCUGGAUCCUCCUAUUUUUGGAAAAUAUCACCACCAGCUGGUCACCUCUGGAAUAACACACCAUCGACUGCAAAUCCAUCACCACCUGGGCUAUUUGCUAUCAGAUCUGAUUCCUCCCUGGCUCCUAUUUUCCUUGUCUUUUUAUGUCUGUGCCUAAUCUGGGUUUAGCUCAGAUUAAGAUUAAAAUGUUUAAGAUUGUGCCUACUCUGGGUUAAAGAUUUAACUCAGUUUAAGAUUUUUUGUUUUAUUU